GCCGAGGUAGCCAAGCGGCCUAAGGCGCUGGUCUUGAAAACCAGUUGUGCUACGCACAGCAAGAGUUCAAAUCUCUUCCUCGGCGCC
This 87-nucleotide transfer RNA is filed under the name uncultured archaeon. RNAcentral describes it as "tRNA-Ser(tga)". It matches the Rfam family "tRNA". Rfam says of the family: Transfer RNA (tRNA) molecules are approximately 80 nucleotides in length. Their secondary structure includes four short double-helical elements and three loops (D, anti-codon, and T loops). The record is from RNAcentral.